Molecule: ribosomal RNA, 497 nt
Filed under: uncultured bacterium
Lineage: Bacteria
Description: partial 16S ribosomal RNA
Rfam family: Bacterial small subunit ribosomal RNA
Source: RNAcentral
GAUGAACGCUGGCGGCGUGCCUAAUACAUGCAAGUCGAGCGAACAGACGAGGAGCUUGCUCCUCUGACGUUAGCGGCGGACGUGUGAGUAACACGUGGAUAACCUACCUAUAAGACUGGUAUAACUUCGGGAAACCGGAGCUAAUACCGGAUAAUAUAUUGAUCCGCAUGGUUCAAUAGUGAAAGACGGUUUUGCUGUCACUAAUAGAUGGAUCUGCGCCGCAUUAGCUGGUUGGUAAGUUAACGGCUUACCAAGGGAACGAUGCGUAGCCGACCUGAGAGGGUGGUCGCCGACCCUGGAGCUGAGACACGGUCCAGACUCCUACGGGACGCAGCAGACGGGAAUCUGCCGCAAUGGGCGAAAGCCUGACGGAGCAACGCCGAGCGAGUGAUGAAGGUCUUCGGAUCGUAAAACUCUGUUAUUAGGGAAGAACAAAUGUGUAAGUAAAUAUGCACGUAUUGACGGUACUUAAUCAGAAAGCAACGGCUAACUACGUG